RNAcentral lists this ribosomal RNA (467 nucleotides) under uncultured bacterium. Its description in RNAcentral is "partial 16S ribosomal RNA". It matches the Rfam family "Bacterial small subunit ribosomal RNA", at positions 28 to 507 of the family's 1533-position model. The record is from RNAcentral.
GAUGAACGCUGGCGGCGUGCUUAACACAUGCAAGUCGAACGGAAAGGCCCAAGCUUGCUUGGGUACUCGAGUGGCGAACGGGUGAGUAACACGUGGGUGAUCUGCCCUGCACUUCGGGAUAAGCCUGGGAAACUGGGUCUAAUACCGGAUAGGACCACUUCUUGGAUGUUGUGGUGGAAAGUUUUUUCGGUGUGGGAUGAGCUCGCGGCCUAUCAGCUUGUUGGUGGGGUAAUGGCCUACCAAGGCGUCGACGGGUAGCCGGCCUGGGAGGGUGUACGGCCACAUUGGGACUGAGGUACGGCCCAGACUCCUACGGGAGGCAGCAGGGGGGAAGAUUGCACAAUGGGCGCAAGCCUGAUGCAGCGACGCCGCGUGGGGGAUGACGGCCUUCGGGUUGUAAACUCCUUUCGCUAGGGACGAAGCGUUUUGUGACGGUACCUGGAGAAGAAGCACCGGCUAACUACGUG